RNAcentral lists this ribosomal RNA (346 nucleotides) under uncultured bacterium. RNAcentral describes it as "partial 16S ribosomal RNA". It matches the Rfam family "Bacterial small subunit ribosomal RNA", at positions 338 to 681 of the family's 1533-position model. The record is from RNAcentral.
CCUACGGGUGGCAGCAGUGAGGAAUAUUGGUCAAUGGCCGGAAGGCUGAACCAGCCAUGCCGCGUGAAGGGCAGGGCCCUAGGGGCGUUAAACUUCUUGUGUGCGGGAGCAAGAAUGGUCACGGGUGGCCAGACGAGAGUACCGUACGAAGAAGCAUCGGCGAACUCCGGGCCAGCAGCCGCGGUAAGACGGGGGAUGCAAGCGUUCUCCGGAGUUCUUGGGUUUCAAGGGGGCGGAGGCUGUGAGGUAAGUCAGCGGGGAAAUGCCCCCGCUCAACGGGGGGAAGUGCCAUUGAUACUGCCUUGCUGGAUUGCGGCUGCCGUGGGAGGAAUGUGUGUUGUAGCGG